AAUUUUUUUUUUUUUUCUUGCCUCUCUCUCUCCUCUCUUUCCAUUCCUUUUCUUUUCUUUUCGAACGUUUCUCUUCCUCCGUCUUUUCUUCUUUUUUUUUUCUUUUCUUUUCUUUUUCACGACUUGUUUGUUUGUUUGUUUGUUUCCAACUUUCUUUCUUUCUUUCUCUCACUGUCCCGUCGAUCGUGUCGCGUCCUACCACCAUUUCAUUGUUUGUCGCUUUUGUGUUCGUCCAGUUUUUCUAUACAUUACUCCUUGUAUGAUGUUCAAGCCGUUCUCGUAGCGUUGUAGUGAGUAGUACACUGUGAGGCAGAAUUCUUGUUUUUCAACAUUCACCAACAGAAAAGAAAAAAAGAAAGAAAAAAGAAAAAAAAAAAAAGAAAGAACACCACUGUUUCUAUUUCUCUCUUUCUAGCAGCCUAUCGCAGCCUAUCCAGGUGCAAAGAACUAGUUGCAAUACACCAAUCACCCGUUUCGGUGCCUAGGUCUCGUAAAAUGAGUCGCAAGAUGUUUCCGCAGCCACACGUGACCGCUCCAUUUCUAUCUGUUUCUGAGAACGUGCAAUCAUGCCUCUUUAACCAACUUACUUUCGAAUCUGUUCCGUUAGGUUCGGGGAAACUAACCGAUUAUCAAAAAAAAAAAAAAAAAGAAAAAACCAAUUGUGCCUCCCUCACGUGUGUGUGUGAUGAGAUCCGCUCGAUACCGAAAGUAAAAUUUCAAAAAAAAAAAAAAACAAAAAGAAAAAAGCCACACGGAAGCAAAAUGAAAGUGGUGAAAUGGAGCGUGAUCGCGGUCUUGUAAAUAAGAAGUAGUAGUUGAAGUGACAUGUCUUUUAUGAAUGACACGUACACCACUCUGCUGACAAGCUGUGCUGCACGAACCCCGGCUAUCAAAACCCUCGCUGCUGUUUUGCUGCCCCACACAAAAAAAAAUAUAUAUAUAAACGCUACACUGAGAGUUGUCGAGAUAACGAUUUUCGAAACAAAAAAGAAAUUAAAUAAAAUAAAAUAAAAUAAUAGUAAAGUAAAGUGUAAAAAUACGCACACGCGCGCAUGUUUUUUUUUUUUUGUUUUUUUUUUCUUUAAGGAAAGGAAGGAGAUUCGCAAUAGGUCGGAUUCGUACGUUUCGGAUUUGCUGAAUGAUGUGUGGGCCGAGAAACGAGAUGGGAUACUUCGCGCGUUCGCGUAACUUUCGGACGAAACGAACGAACUUUUUCAAACUCGACGAAGAGACGCACGUUGGCGACAAAUCGCGAAAUCGUGGCCAAAGGUUUUUUGAAAGCAACAGCAUUAUUCAAAAAUGCUUGGACCAAAGAUUAAAAUUUCGAUCUCUUUGGCCACGAAUUCUCAAAAACUCGCCCAUUCGCGGUGGUUGGCUCUAGAGACAAAUUCGACGUCGAAAGCUCGAACGUUCGCGAACGUGUUUAAAAUUGUCCACGAUCCGAGGAGACAGAGAACGAAUGAAAACGGAAAAAAGAAAAGAAAAAAAAGAAAAAAGAAAAAGGAAGAAGAACGAGGAAAAUGUCAGAGAAACUGGCGGGGACAAACGCACGCAUAGAAGGGAAAAGACGAAAGAAAGAAAAAAAAAAGGGAAGUGCG
Long non-coding RNA from Frieseomelitta varia, 1598 nucleotides. RefSeq lists it as uncharacterized. The record is from RefSeq and is a predicted model, not a curated record. The transcript has 2 exons. Lineage: Eukaryota; Metazoa; Arthropoda; Insecta; Hymenoptera; Apidae.